AACAUGUCCUUUUGAUUUAAUUUAAGGUCUGACCUGCCCACUGAUCUUUAAAGGGCCGCGGUAAUUUGACCGUGCUAAGGUAGCAUAAUCAUUAGUUUUUUAAUUGGAAGCUAGAAUGAAUGGUUGGAUGAGAAAGUAACUGUCUCUAUUUAAUUUAAAUUGAAUUUUAUUUUUAAGUUAAAAAGCUUAAUUAAUUUUUAAAGACGAGAAGACCCUAUAGAGUUUGAUAGAUUAUAUUUAUUAUUAUUUUUUGAAAUUUUAUUUUAAUAAGAAAAAUUUAUUUAAUUGGGGUGAUUGUAAAAUUAAAUUAACUUUUAUUAUUUCUUAACAUAAAUUUAUGAUAGUUUGAUCCAUAGAGUUUGAUUAUAAGAUUAAAUUACCUUAGGGAUAACAGCGUAAUUUUUUUUGAGAGUUCUAAUCGAAAAAAAAGAUUGCGACCUCGAUGUCUGGAUUAAAAUUAAUUUUUGGUGUAGAAGCUAGAAAUAUUAGGUCUGUUCGACCUUUAAAAUUUUACAUGAUCUGAGUUUAAACCGGUGUGAGCCAGGUUGGUUUCUAUCUUGAAAUAAUUAAAUAUAUUUUAGUACGAAAGGAUCGA
This 595-nucleotide ribosomal RNA is filed under the name Eupromus ruber. Its description in RNAcentral is "partial 16S rRNA". It matches the Rfam family "Bacterial large subunit ribosomal RNA", at positions 1814 to 2695 of the family's 2925-position model. Lineage: Eukaryota; Metazoa; Arthropoda; Insecta; Coleoptera; Cerambycidae. The record is from RNAcentral.